GAGCACGUAGGAGUUUGUAAGUCAGACGUGAAAGCCUUCUGUUCAACGGAAGAAUUGCAUCUGAAACUACAAACCUUGAGUGUAGGAGGGGAGAAUGGAACUUCUGGUGGAGCGGUGAAAUGCGUAGAUAUCAGAAGGAACGCCGGCGGCAAGGCGAUUCUCUGGCCUAUUACUGACACUCAGUGUGCGAAAGCAGGGGGAGCAAACGGGAUUAGAUACCCCGGUAGUCCUAGCCGUAAACGAUGGGCACUAAGUAGAGGGGUUUU
RNAcentral lists this ribosomal RNA (266 nucleotides) under uncultured Planctomycetota bacterium. Its description in RNAcentral is "uncultured planctomycete partial 16S ribosomal RNA". It matches the Rfam family "Bacterial small subunit ribosomal RNA", at positions 565 to 832 of the family's 1533-position model. Lineage: Bacteria; Pseudomonadati; Planctomycetota. The record is from RNAcentral.